GGUGGCAUACAGCACAGUGGUAGAGUGCGUGCCUAGCAUGCAUGAGGUCCUGGGCUCAAUCCCUAGUACCUCCA
Transfer RNA from Camelus ferus (Wild Bactrian camel), 74 nucleotides. It matches the Rfam family "tRNA". From Rfam's summary of the family: Transfer RNA (tRNA) molecules are approximately 80 nucleotides in length. Their secondary structure includes four short double-helical elements and three loops (D, anti-codon, and T loops). Lineage: Eukaryota; Metazoa; Chordata; Mammalia; Artiodactyla; Camelidae. The record is from Rfam.